Molecule: ribosomal RNA, 257 nt
Filed under: Clostridioides difficile
Lineage: Bacteria; Bacillati; Bacillota; Clostridia; Peptostreptococcales; Peptostreptococcaceae
Description: partial 16S ribosomal RNA
Rfam family: Bacterial small subunit ribosomal RNA
Source: RNAcentral
ACUCUCAGUUCGGAUUGUAGGCUGAAACUCGCCUACAUGAAGCUGGAGUUACUAGUAAUCGCAGAUCAGAAUGCUGCGGUGAAUGCGUUCCCGGGUCUUGUACACACCGCCCGUCACACCACGGGAGUUGGAGACGCCCGAAGCCGAUUAUCUAACCUUUUGGAAGAAGUCGUCGAAGGUGGAAUCAAUAACUGGGGUGAAGUCGUAACAAGGUAGCCGUAUCGGAAGGUGCGGCUGGAUCACCUCCUUUCUAAGGA